AGCUCCAAUAGCGUAUACUAAAGUUGUUGCAGUUAAAAGCUCGUAGUUGGAUUUCUGGCAGGGACGGCUGGUCGGUUCCGAUAAGGGGCCGUACUGUUGUUGGUUCCUGUCAUCCUUGGGGAGAGCGAUUCUGGCAUUAGUUUGUUGGGAUCGGGAUCCCUAUCUUUUACUGUGAAAAAAUUAGAGUGUUCAAAGCAGGCUUAGGCCCUGAAUACAUUAGCAUGGAAUAAUAAGAUACGACCUUGGUGGUCUAUUUUGUUGGUUUGCACGCCAAGGUAAUGAUUAAUAGGGAUAGUUGGGGGUAUUCGUAUUCAAUUGUCAGAGGUGAAAUUCUUGGAUUUAUGGAAGACGAACUACUGCGAAAGCAUUUACCAAGGAUGUUUUCA
This 386-nucleotide ribosomal RNA is filed under the name uncultured eukaryote. Its description in RNAcentral is "SSU rRNA". It matches the Rfam family "Eukaryotic small subunit ribosomal RNA", at positions 587 to 972 of the family's 1831-position model. The record is from RNAcentral.